RNAcentral lists this transfer RNA (95 nucleotides) under Dreissena polymorpha. RNAcentral describes it as "tRNA-Phe". Lineage: Eukaryota; Metazoa; Mollusca; Bivalvia; Myida; Dreissenidae. The record is from RNAcentral.
GCCGGAAUAGCUCAGUUGGGAGAGCUUUAGACUGAAGUUGUUUACACAACAGUCAUCUAAAGGCCCCCGGUUCAAUCAAACGGAACAGUUCGGCG